Molecule: long non-coding RNA, 2739 nt
Organism: Aethalodelphis obliquidens (Pacific white-sided dolphin)
Lineage: Eukaryota; Metazoa; Chordata; Mammalia; Artiodactyla; Delphinidae
Exons: 4
Source: RefSeq, a predicted model, not a curated record
CAAGUGUUUGGCCGCCGGCUUUGCAGUCCCGGUGUCCAGAGGUCCCUAGCCGGAGUUCCUCCGUAUGUAUCCUGGGAGACGCUUAGUGUAACUUUGAGCCCGGCUGGAUUUCCGACUGUGGCACUCUUGCUGUUCUUGAGCCCACAGGAACAAGCCAUGCUGGUAGGAAAGAAGACCACAACUCCUCAGGCAGCUGGACCCCAUCUUGAGAGGAUACACCUGUGACCUGAGGCUUCCUGCCAAAACUACUAGCCAAGACCAGGGUCUGGAGGAGGAAGUGGUUCUGGAGCUGCUGGGGCUGUGGACGUUCCUCAGCAAGGCUUGGGUCAGCUUUUCCUCCUUAACUCCUUGACCUUGCUGAGGAAGAAGAGAUGACCAGUUCCCAGUGUUGCCAAGUUUGUACCCUUUGUACCAUGGAAGCUGGUGUAGAUGUUUGCUCACUGAAGAGGAAUUACUGUUCAUUGGUGUCUUAAGAACACGUUACAUUCAAGGAUGUGGCCGUGGACUUCACCGAGGAGGAGUGGGGGCAGCUGGACCCCGCACAGACGGCCCUGUCCAAAGAGGUGAUGCUGGAGAUCUAUGGCAACCUGGUCUUAGUGGGAAAGAAACUUUAUGACUGUGCCGAGUGUGGCAAGAGCUUCAGUCAGAGCACAGACCUUCACAUCCACCAGAGAGUCCACACGAGAAAGAAACCUUUCGUGUGUGAUACAUGUGGCAAAGCCUUCAGUUAUAACAGGAAUCUUCACGUGCAUCAGAGGGUCCACACAGGAGAGAAAGCUUUUAAGUGCGAGGAGUGUGGCAAGGGCUUCCAUCAGAGCCCCAACCUUCGCAUCCACUGGAGAGUCCACACUGGAGCAAAACCGUACAAAUGUGGAGUGUUGUGAGAGCUUCAGACAGAACCUAGACUCCAAGAGCAUCAGAGGGUCCACACAAGAGAAACCAUUUUAAUGUGAAACCCUUAAAGUACAAGCUUCCGUGCUCAUCAGAAAGUCCACACAGGAGAGAAACCUGUAGGUGUGAGGAGUGUGGGAAGGAUUUCGAUCACAGUGAAUCUUCACGUUCUCCAGAGAAUGAAACUGCAGGUGUGAUGGGUGUGUGAUAAGGGUUUCUUCAGUUAGAGCUUAGAUCUUCAAGUUUAUCUAAGAAUUAAUACAGGAGAAAACCCAUUUAUAUGUGCUAAAUGUAGUAAGGGCUUUGGAAAGAGCACUAACCUUGAGUUCCAUAAGUCCCCACAGGAGAGCAAUUUUACAAAUGUGCAAGUGUGGUAAAGGGUUUCUUAAGAACACAGAGCUUCUCUGCAGAGCGUCUACUCAGGGGAGAAACCAUUGAUUUCAGUGUCUGUGGUUGGGGCUUCCGUUACAGCACAAACCUUCAUGCACAUCAGAGUCCAUGCGCGGUAGAGACCCUGUGUGCGUGAGAAGCGAGUCAGGCCUUCACAUCCAUUUGACUCCAGGUGGGAGAAAACCAUGCAGGUGUAGGUAUGUGCGUAUCUCCCCCUUCCCCAGAGAGCCUGUUUCUACCACGAUUCUGGCAGCUCCAAGAGAGGGCAGCUGCGUGUGCUUUGCUCGCCAUUGUGUCCCCAGCUCCUGGCACAGUGCCUGGCAGGAGUAGCCACCUAGUAAAUAUUUGUUGAAUGAGAAUCCAUGUGGGAGAGAACCCCUGUUUGUGUGAUAGCGGGGUAAGGACUUCAAGGUCAACAUGUUGAAGCCUUUUCAGAAAGUGUGUUCACAGUCAGAUCAUGGGUUUUGUCAUGAGUUAAUCCCUGCAGGAGAGAAAUCCUGUGAACCUGAUGAUUAUACUAAUGGACUUAGAGAUAAAUGAUCAAAUUAUUAAAUCGGUGUAGUAAAUUUAAAAAUACAUGUCUUCAGCAUAAGAAUCCACACCCCCAAAACUGUAUCAGCUGUGAAAAUACUUUAGUCAAAACUCAUACAUUAAAAUGUGUAUCUAUUCGGGAAAAAAAAUCCUGUGUAUGCCCUAAUGAAGUUAUGUGUCAGGCUCUGGACUGACCACCUCCGCAUAAGGGGGACUCCACCAGAAUCUGGUAGCAGUAGCUCUUCUUUUGUUUUAUAUUUCAUCUCAAAGAGGUUUAUGUUAGACAUAACCAAUGAGUUAUCCAGGGCCAAGGAUUAACAAGGCCUUCCUUUUGGGAGAGAUGCCCCUUACCUGGCAAAGUGCCCUUCUAGGCUGGAAGCCUCCUGGCCCUGAUUGAGUGUCUCCCUGCCCAUCAUGUCAUCAGGCUGCUGGGAGCUUUGCACCAUGGAUUGUAGAAAUUCCCAGGUGAGGCAUGUUCAGGGUAAGUGUCUAUAGAAGAGAUAGCUAAAAAAAGGGGGGCUGGGUCAGGGUUUACAGAGGGGAGUUAGAGGAGAGGAAAGCAAGUCUGAAACGGUAGGGAAUAGUUAGAAGAAAUAGGAAAAGAACAGUGCCUGGGAGGUAGUUGGGAGGGGUCAUAGGGGUGGGAAGCCCCAAGGCUUCUCCUAAGUCUCCAGCAAGUGUCUCAACCUCCAGUACAGGGCUCUCCUUGGAGAUCUGUGCUAACCAGAGUGUGGUCUGUAGUGGGUAGAGAUGGACCCCAGUGGCAUCAGGGCCAGUUGGGGCAAGAGGUGGAAGAGUUGCUGUGAGGGCGCUUGGAAGGCAACUCUAUGCCCCAUCAUUUCCCCACGUGGCCCAAGUCAGGCGGGACCAUUAUCCCUCCAAUAGAAGGAAGGAUCAUAUAUGCAGGCAAUAGUAAGCUUGACCCCC